AGCCUAUUAGCUCAAUCGGAAGAGCAUUGUGUUUUUUCACAAAGGUUGUGGGUUCAAAUCCUGCAUGGGCUA
This is a non-coding RNA of Beta vulgaris subsp. vulgaris (sugar beet), 72 nucleotides long. The record is from Rfam. NCBI's taxonomy places the organism in Eukaryota, Viridiplantae, Streptophyta, Magnoliopsida, Caryophyllales, Amaranthaceae.